This 2250-nucleotide long non-coding RNA is filed under the name Nicotiana benthamiana. Its description in RNAcentral is "long non-coding RNA (NBEN_LNC009002)". The record is from RNAcentral. Lineage: Eukaryota; Viridiplantae; Streptophyta; Magnoliopsida; Solanales; Solanaceae.
AGGGAACGCUCAGACUUCUCUCAAAAUUUCUCCCUCUUGUAACUAAUCUCUUGGUUGUGUUUUAUUCUAUAAUAUAAAUCAAAAGGGUCAUUUGGCCACAAAACAGAAGGUCUCCGGUACUAUUUUUUCUCUCACUCUCUCACUCCUUAUAAUAUUUGCAUUACUGUAGCCUGGAUGAUAUGCUAAAUAAAUAAGUGUUAAACUUAGUAUUCGAAGGUUAUUUACAAUGCAUGUUUUGUUGCUCAAAAUGAACUGUAGCAUCCCGAUGAAGUGUUAGGUUAAGAACUAUAUAGACCAGCCAGUUACUAACCUCGAUAGUAAAUCUUGGUUAGGAUAUCCUAACCGGUGGUGCUCGUAAACUCGUUUAGGUAGGUGGCCGUGUUGAAGAGUUUUAAGGAGCAUUGGGGUUUAAGAUUUACCUAAAGGUUGGUAACAUGUCUCGAAUAGAGUUCUUGUAAUUUCUUCCUGAACCUCAUUCGGAAGCGAUCCAGUAAUAAUAAUAAUAAUAAUAAUAAUAACCAUAAUAAUCAUAAUAACAACAACAACAACAACAACAACAACAACAACAACAACAACAAUAAUAAUAGUAAUAACAAUAUAAUCAUGUCUAAAUAUUAUAUCAAUUCACUAGUCAUUUUUUCAUGAAAUCAUUUUCUGAAAAUAGCCCAUCUGGGUUUUAGAAAUUCUUCUAAAAUCAUUUUUUUUGCCGGUGAACUGGACUAAAAUCUAUUUGUUUUUCAAUCAUCAUUAUAACCAUUUUAAAAAAUCAUUUCGGAUGCAGUGGGUUCAAGAUCUAAUUUAAUUUUGACUAUAUUAUCACUAUUGAUACUGAUAUUAUUAAUAUUACAAAGGGGAUUUUUACAACGAUAGAGAAGGCUAGAGAGUUAUUCCGAACGUUGGCUAAAUGUCUUCUCUUCGUAAACUAAAAUGAUCUUAUAUAAUGGAUCAAAUAACAACCAAACAAAACUAAAACAGUAUGAUGGCCGACAAAAUAAUUGUAAGUAUGACCGACAAGAUAAAAAAAAGAUUCUACAUAAUUUACAUCAAGACAAACCACUUUAUAAAAGUGGAUUCCCUUCAAUAAUGGAGGGACCUGUGACUUUAUUAAAGUUGCUUGUAUUACCCCCAAUAAUUUAUGAUAUGGGGUCUUCAUGUCUUAACUUUUCACCUUCCCUUUGUCAUCUUUCUUUGCAGAGGAUUCUUCUGCAUUUUCCUUAAAUCUUGCAAGGAAGUCUUCUAUUUCAUCAAUAUUAAUGUUUGUGCCUGGGCAACUUUGGGCUUCACCUGUUGCAUAGUCUUCUUCAUCAGAAGUGUUUCCUCUGGAUGUCAUUGAUAUAUCAUCUCCGAUUUUUGUUCCAAAAUUGUUUGUCAAAUCCUUUUUAGUUUUUUCAAAAUAUGAUGCAAUAAUUUCUCUUUUAGAGACUGCACCUUUCUUCAUUUGAAGUCUUUUAGUGACCAUUUCAAAUGGACUUAAUUUUCCAUUACGGCAUUGGUUUUUUCCAAUUUGGUAUAGGCUUCUAUUUUAGUCUAAAUUUGUUGAAUCAAUUCUUUACCAAAUAAUUUGCCUUGGUGAUUUCAUCGGAGCAAUUUGGUCCAAAACUUAUUAUGAAAAUUGUUGUGAAGGCAAGGAAUCCCUUCGUCGGUGUAACCAACUUGGACAUCCCAUUUCAUUAUCCAAGGGAUUGAAAAUUCUAUGAAAAAAUACAUUGAUGCAAUGCCAUCAUAAAAAUAUUAUCUUUUUGUAAAGAAAUAAUUUUGGGAGAUAUGUCUACCCAUUGAGUAUAUAAACUUUUGAAUAGAGGAGGAAGUAUUUCUAUUGAUGGACCAUAUAAUUUCCACCAUUUGAAGAACCAAUUAGGAAUUUGUUGAUCGUUCAUAUUAGAACAAAGUUUGAUAAACCAUGAGUGCUUCCUAUUAGGAUUCUCAUAAAGAAAUUUUUUAUUAAAACUUUCAACAUAGUUCCAAUAAUUAAAUUUAACUAAAACUUUUUGAUAAGGAUGAGUAUAUUCUCGAUCCUUGAGGGUACUGAGACCCAAUUCAUCUGAAGGUAUUACCUUCUUGAAAAUAAUUUUCGAAAAACUAUAAGUUUUCUUGUAUUUGCCGGAUAAAAAUACUGAAUUUCAGCUGAUCCUGUUGUUGAGAGUAUGAUCUCAUAAUGCAGGCUCUAUUUAUAAGCAAGAGUAGUUUAUGACGCUGUAUCAAAAUACCUGGCCAUUAAUUGCCAUGGGUUAUCCUUCCAUUUGAGGUCGG